CCUACGGGUGGCAGCAGUGAGGAAUAUUGGUCAAUGGGCGCGAGCCUGAACCAGCCAAGUCGCGUGAGGGAAGACGGUCCUAUGGAUUGUAAACCUCUUUUGUCGGGGAGCAAAAGACGCCACGUGUGGCGUUCCGAGAGUACCCGAAGAAAAAGCAUCGGCUAACUCCGUGCCAGCAGCCGCGGUAAUACGGAGGAUGCGAGCGUUAUCCGGAUUUAUUGGGUUUAAAGGGUGCGUAGGCGGAAUAUCAAGUCAGCGGUAAACAUUCGGGGCUCAACCCCGUCGUGCCGUUGAAACUGAUGUUCUUGAGUGGGCGAGAAGUAUGCGGAAGGCGUGGUGUAGCGGUGAAAUGCAUAGAUAUCACGCAGAACUCCGAUUGCGAAGGCAGCAUACCGGCGCCCAACUGACGCUGAAGCACGAAAGCGUGGGUAUCGAACAGGAUUAGAUACCCGGGUAGUC
RNAcentral lists this ribosomal RNA (459 nucleotides) under uncultured bacterium. RNAcentral's name for it is "partial 16S ribosomal RNA". It matches the Rfam family "Bacterial small subunit ribosomal RNA", at positions 338 to 795 of the family's 1533-position model. The record is from RNAcentral.